CACCAGGAUUUAAUGUGGUUCGACAAUGUGCCUACGUCCACGAGCGAAGAUGAGCAAUUCCACUAUCAAGAUUAUAAUGGAGAAGCACACAAAAUUUUUAAAAAUUUUUUAAGAGGCCUGUACACCAACAAUUUUUCUCUCAAUAUAUGUCUUUUUGCAAAAUAGAGAAAGAAAAAUAUGAAAGGAGGCACAGUGCUGCGAGAUCGUGAAUUGCUGGGAGCCUGGGACAUGAACCACCGCUUGAGAAGUUAAAAGAUGUGAACUGUUUCACGUCCUCUUGAAGUGGCGUGAAAAAAAAAUACUGAACCCUAGGC
This 314-nucleotide long non-coding RNA is filed under the name Elaeis guineensis (African oil palm). RNAcentral describes it as "long non-coding RNA (EGUI_LNC018225)". The record is from RNAcentral. Lineage: Eukaryota; Viridiplantae; Streptophyta; Magnoliopsida; Arecales; Arecaceae.